AAGCAACAACCUACUCAAAACUCAUCUUUUUGUAUCAAUGCACCAUGUGACUCCCUCAUUUGGACUUCUGCAGGAACAUGUCAGGACAGGACAAUCAGACAAAACAAUUUACAAGGAAAUAGAUGAUUUGGACAACGUUGGCUACAAACUGACAUAAUCAACUUUUGGAGAAAACUGCAAUCAACAGUGGCAGAAUGCACAUUCUUUUCAAGCGCACAUGGAAGAUGCACAACGCGGGAAAAUAAAAUGUGAAUCUCAAAAAUAUCAGUUACUGAAAUUUUACAGAAUACAUUCUUUGACCACAAAAGAAACUAAAAGAAA
Molecule: long non-coding RNA, 321 nt
Filed under: Pan troglodytes (chimpanzee)
Lineage: Eukaryota; Metazoa; Chordata; Mammalia; Primates; Hominidae
Description: lincRNA
Source: RNAcentral